UCUCUAUUGUCUAUCUUUAUGUCUACUGUC
Molecule: non-coding RNA, 30 nt
Filed under: Rattus norvegicus (Norway rat)
Lineage: Eukaryota; Metazoa; Chordata; Mammalia; Rodentia; Muridae
Source: RNAcentral